AACAACCGAGCUUUGUCUAGCUGAAUUUUAGAGCUGUUCCUUUUCAGGUACAGUACUAGGUUUAUUCCUAAGUUGGAAGGAUGUACCGUUGGCCGAGGUUUCUGCCGAUGAUUUCUCAUACAAUUUACUCUUUCAUUUUCAGGGUCAUCUUCGAGGAACCUUUCAGCUUGUAGCCCUCAGCGAUCUCUGGAAGAAGAUGGGGCGUAAUGGUGUCAAGAAGAGCAUCUGGCACUUCCUCUGUGGCUGCUCCUCGCCUAAGACCAGCAAAUGAUUAAGAGCGAAAUGCAUGACACAGCGAGAGGUUAAGUGUCUAAGGGUUCUCAAUAGGUUGAAUUUAAAAAGUGGUUGUAAAGUUGUGAUUAGAUACUGCUAAGUUAUUUGGUUGAAUUGGUUUGUAAUCUUGUGGUUGUGUUGGGCCAGCUUCCUCUGCAGCAAGGAACAUGUAAACGAGGAAUGUCUUGUAACCAUAUUCGGAAAUAAAUCUCGCAUAUAUGUGUCAUACUCUUGCCGUGCGUGUAAAUUAUGCUAAUCCACUUUAGGAUUGAACGAACAAGACUCAUAUUUUUCGCAUCAUGGCCCCGAUGCCAACCAUCAUUAGCUUCGAAUCAAGGAUCAAGCAAGACUUCUGGCCCUGCCGGGGCGAAAGUUUUCGGAAAGGAUCAUUACAAUGAAUGUGAUCAUUUCGGGCUGUUGGAAUAUUUUGAUGCAGUGAGAUGGGAAUUUUUUCAAAAAUGCCUCCUCUUCCUUUGCAUCAUGGAAGCAUCAAUUAAGAGAGGAUUUGAUCCUGCUCAACCAUAGAAUCAGGAGGAAGCAUGCUUCUUACCUGGAUGGUUUCUGAAUAACAUGUAUCGCUUUAUGCCUCGAAAGUUUUUGUGUCAAUGGCUAUUCACAGAGUGGAUUUGUGUACCCAAAUUUAACAGAUGAGAACUCGUAGUUUUUUGUUACCCGGAGUUUGGGUUUCUUUAUUGCAAGGAACUAGUAAUCUGGUACAUCGAAGACAUAAUACGGCAUAUCUCAAUCAUGAUGGGAAUGCACUCUGUUUUUCUUUCUCUUCUGUAGGAAAUUACAGAUACGUACUCUACUCUGUAUUUCGACCACCGUGCGUUUACCAUUAUAUAUGCACACCACACAAGCAAACGCAAAGAAAUCGACGACAUAAGUGAGAAAAAUACGUGAACCAGGCGUCACCUAAUAUGUGUUAAACAUUAGUUUCCAUUACGUGCAUUACUAGCAGCAGUUGAACCUUUUCAAGGAAAGGUCCAUACAUGCCUCAGUCAAAGAAGUUAGUACUCUUUUUUUUUUAACAUAAAAGAAGAAGUUAGUAGCUAGUAGUACUACUAGUAGUAUUGUAAUCCUACCAUGUUGUGUGCAUGCUGACCAAAAACCCGUUGAAUGAUUGAACCUUGAAGAGGCAUAAGCUCGCAUUGACCGACAAUUACUACUACUUAUAACCUAGCAGUCAAGGCCAUACGCUCACAUUGGCUGUCAACAUCACAUAAGAACAUCAGAAUUCUCCAAAGGAAAUGGUCGUCAGGUCAGCCCAAGUCAUUCUUGGCAAGUAACUUUCACUGAACAUUCUUUGGCAAGUGCAAACCAAGCACAACUACGCAAGUGGACUGUUAAACUAUGACCAGCGAACUUGUUUAGGCUGCCUUCUAUUUUGUGAUUAUUCAUGUUCUUUUCCAGUUAUACGUGCAACCCAAGUUUGUCCCCUUUUGUGACGGGGAGUACAGUAAGCAGAGUAUUCACAGAACAUGGCUUGUUCUUCGCUGAAUGUUCCUGUGAUUUUCAUGUUACUUUCCUAGUAAAAAAUGUCACGGUAGGAACACUAGUUAUCUAAACACGGUCGCUUGUGUGAUUGUGAGUGAAUGUGUGGCCUCUAUAGACCUGCCCUUGUUAGUUCUGCCUGUUGCAUCAAUCGGCCAUCUUCCCAGUAAUUUCCCGGUUCAUUGCAAAUAAAUUUUAUACGGAUCAUGGCUAAACGGUUAAGCAUUAAGAGUUCACAGCUGAAGUUUAGUUUGCAUAAACAUGUCCGGGAGCCGGAUUAAGUUUUUGUUGGACGUCCAGGACUCAUUCUAUACAUGCGGACACGCUAAUGGCUAACAAAUGUCGCUGAAGUUUCUGCCACUGAUCCACUUUUCAAGCUCAAGUUCUGGAAUCGUUCAGUCACUCUUCACUGAAUAUUCGUCUAGUGCCUCGCUAACUUUUCCUUGUAAUAUCUGUGUUUGUCCUUGCUCUCAACGAAAUUGCUACUUGCCCAGGGGAGGAAGGCCUAUAAAUGGACCAGCAUGUCGGUCUGCAGUCCUGCACCAGUGUCUAGCUGAAUUUUAGAGCUGUUCCUUUUCAGGUAAGGGUACGGCACUAGGUUUCAUUCCUGAGUUGGGCUGGAUGUACCGUUGUCCGAGGUUUCUGCCUAUGAUUUCUCAUACAAUUUACUCUUUUAUUUGCAGGGUCAUCUUGGCCGAACAUUUCAGCUUGUAGCCUUCAGCGAUCUCUGGAAGAAGAUGGGGCGUAACGGUGUCAAGAAGAGCAUCUGGGAGUUCCUGUGCGGCUGUUCCUCGCCUCGGACGAGCAAAUGAUUAAGGCCAAAAUGCAUGACAAAGCGAGAGGUUAAGUGUCUAAUGGUUCCUAAUAGAUGAAAUUCUUCCGAAUAGGUCUCCACAAAGUUGCUUUAUGUUAAGCUUAAAAAGUUUGUGUUUAGAUAUUGCUCGGUUCUUUGGUUAAAUUGGUUUGUAGUCUUGGGGUUGUGUCGUUCUUCUGCAGCAAGGAGCAUGUAAAACCGUGUCGUGUGUAAUCAUAUUCCGAAAUAAAUAUCUCUCGCAUAUUUGUCCGUCA
RNAcentral lists this long non-coding RNA (2835 nucleotides) under Hordeum vulgare. RNAcentral's name for it is "long non-coding RNA (HVUL_LNC016823)". The record is from RNAcentral. Lineage: Eukaryota; Viridiplantae; Streptophyta; Magnoliopsida; Poales; Poaceae.